Molecule: transfer RNA, 62 nt
Filed under: Camelus bactrianus (Bactrian camel)
Lineage: Eukaryota; Metazoa; Chordata; Mammalia; Artiodactyla; Camelidae
Also listed under: 1 other name
Rfam family: tRNA
About the family: Transfer RNA (tRNA) molecules are approximately 80 nucleotides in length.
Source: Rfam by way of RNAcentral
GUGGGUAUAGCUCAGUGGUAGAGCACGUAUUUAGCACACAGGUUCAAUCCCUGGUACCUAUA